Pangasius djambal is the source of this 72-nucleotide non-coding RNA. Lineage: Eukaryota; Metazoa; Chordata; Actinopteri; Siluriformes; Pangasiidae. The record is from the annotation of a GenBank genome assembly.
UCCCUGGAGGACUAGUGGUUAGGCCUCGGCGCUCUUGCCGCCCCAGUCGGGGUUCGAUUCCCGGCCAGGGAA